Molecule: ribosomal RNA, 297 nt
Filed under: uncultured microorganism
Description: partial 16S ribosomal RNA
Rfam family: Bacterial small subunit ribosomal RNA
Source: RNAcentral
GUGCCAGCAGCCGCGGUAAUACGUAGGUGGCAAGCGUUGUCCGGAAUUAUUGGGCGUAAAGCGCGCGCAGGCGGCUAUGUAAGUCUGGUGUUAAAGCCCGGGGCUCAACCCCGGUUCGCAUCGGAAACUGUGUAGCUUGAGUGCAGAAGAGGAAAGCGGUAUUCCACGUGUAGCGGUGAAAUGCGUAGAGAUGUGGAGGAACCCCUGGUGGCGAAGGCGGCUUUCUGGGUGUGUAACUGACGCUUAAGGCGCCAAAGCGGUGGGGAGCAAACAGGAUUAAGAUACCCUGGUUAGUCC